RNAcentral lists this ribosomal RNA (406 nucleotides) under uncultured bacterium. RNAcentral's name for it is "partial 16S ribosomal RNA". It matches the Rfam family "Bacterial small subunit ribosomal RNA", at positions 30 to 526 of the family's 1533-position model. The record is from RNAcentral.
AUUGAACGCUGGCGGCAGGCCUAACACAUGCAAGUCGAACGCGUGGCGGACGGGUGAGUAAUGUCUGUGACACUGCCCGCUUGAGGGGGAUGACUACUUGAAACGGGAGCUAUUACCGCCUGCCCUCGGAUGUGCCCAGAUGGGAUUAGCUAGUAGGUUGGUUAACGGCUCACCUAGGCGACGAUCCCUAGCUGGUCUGUGCGGAUGACCAGCCACCCUGGAAUGGAGCCGCGGUCCAGACCCCUACGGGAGGCAGCAGUGGGGAAGAUUGCACAAUGGGCGCAAGCCUGACGCAGCCAUGCCGCGUGUAUGAAGAAGGGCUUCGGGUUGGAAAGUACUUUCAGCGAGGAGGCGUUACUAGCAGAAGAAGCACCGGCUAACUCCGUGCCAGCAGCCGCGGUAAUAC